ACUGGAACUUGCUUUGUAGACCAGGCUGGACUUGAACUCAGAAAUUCACCUGCCUCUGCCUCCCCAGUGCUGGGACCCCAGGCACUCACUGGCGUUUCGCUAUGGUGGAGUAGACUUCUCUAUGUGCUCCUUGCAGUCUUUCUCUUCUAGUUGGGUAACUCCCUUUGGAUUCCAUAAAUGGGACUUGUUUGAUUCCUAAUCUUUCACAAGAGAAAAGCUGACUUGGCCUAAAAAGUUGUUUGUGUAAAACUUCUUAGAUCACUGGGGAAAUAGUUAAGAGUUUAAAAACCUAGAUUUAUGCAAUGUAACCAGCUGAUUUAAAGAGCUCAGAUGGGUGGUACCCAGCAGCCGUGGGCCCAGGACCUAUUGAAAAGUCUAUUGCUUGCUAAGGUGGUCACGUGACUAUGUUCUGACUCUUGCGGCUGUGUAGAUUGCUGUGUGGAAGCUUGUGAGAGCAACGUUCUAGCUACAGUGGUGGAGCCUGAGGAUGGGACCAAGUCAUGGAGAAGGCAGAGCGGCGAGCUGGGUCUCUGAGGCUUCCCCAUAUCCUCCCUGUAUGCUGUAUAUCUGCAGUGCAUGUAGCUAUAAGGAAUCAGAGCUGGGAGGAGACUGAAGCUGGUGCCUGCCUGCCUGCCAGCCAGAGGGCGUGCGUGCCUCAGGAAAAGACACCUCACACAAUCCUGACAGCUUCAGAUCCUGGCCUGUGAUGAAGAUGUGUGAAGCAAUGUCAGACUGGUCUAUCGGACUCUGGCAGCCAGGGGAUAUCUGUGCUCUUCUCGAGUGGAGUGCCCACAGAGGCCAGAAGAUGGUGUUGGAUCACUGGGAGCUGGAGUGAUGGAGAUUCUGAGCUGCCUUACGUGGAGGUUGGGAGCGGAGCCCAGAUCCUCUGUAAGAGCAGCAAUUGCUUGUCACCCCCAGAUGUCCCUGUAGCCCCAGAGUGUGUCUGUUUUAACAAGGCAUUCCAGCCAGGUACUGAACACAGGGCUUAAGGUCCACAUUGUUGACCAGCCAAGCUGAUGUUGCAGAAUGCCCGAACCUGUACUGAGGUCAUCACUAUCAGCCAUAAAUAAAUACUUGAA
This is a long non-coding RNA of Myodes glareolus (Bank vole), 1079 nucleotides long. RefSeq lists it as uncharacterized. Lineage: Eukaryota; Metazoa; Chordata; Mammalia; Rodentia; Cricetidae. The record is from RefSeq and is a predicted model, not a curated record.